CAGCCUCGCCUGAAGCCCUGGAGCGCAUUUUCCGGAAUUCCGGACCCCAGAACUUCCAGGCGGUUACACCCUGGGAACCUCCUAGGUGAACCCCCCCCAGUAGGCGCGACCCCAGUGUCCUCACCAAGUUCCGGCCCCUUCGCGGCCCCUUCUGUACCGAGGCUUCCACGGUUGCCUAGGCGCCUACUGUGUACCGUCAGGAGCUGGAGGCACAGAGCCCCAAGGCCUCGUGGGGCUGGAUUCUGCAGGGGGUAGUCUCACUUGUUGCUGAAUCACGAGACGGAAGUUUGUAACUAGGGAGAUUUAGCGGAGUCUUCGACGGCUGGAGUUGACCAGGAACGUGAUCCACCAAAAGACACUGCCACUGGUGGGAAGUCCGUGCUCAGCUACUCCAAUUGGUUGCAGUUGGCUAUUUGGCCAAGCUCCAGCUGUCAGCCACCCCUGGAGCCCCACCAUUGUAAAGCCACCCCUUCAGCAGACCACCUGACUUCAGUCAGUGUCCAGCCGGGCCCAGCCCACACUCCUUACUUACAGAGCAGUGGCAGGUGUUUCUCAUCAGCCACUGAGUCUAGUAGCAGGCUACUUCCAUUAUCUUCUUGGUACGCUUAGUUCAACAUGGCUAAGCUUGCUCCAGUGGCUGCCUGCAGCAGAGAGACACACCCAGGGACAUCCAGGUGUUAGUGGAAAGUCGUCUUCACCAUGUACACUGACGUCCAGAUUACUUGGGCAGCUCAUGGCACAGUUCACACCUUUGCAGACAGUCUGAAGACUUGCUACCAUUCUCACGAGGUCGGAAAGUCCUGUGAGGGGCUGGAGAGAAGGCUUGGCAGUCCAGAGCACUCCCUGGUCUUGCAGAGGUUCUGAGUCUGGUUUUCAGCAAGCACUAUGUGUGAGAUGUGGGACUGAUUCAGAUCAUCCACAACGGCAGACUCUUUGCCUUAUUCAGGCUCUGAGAGGAGCUCUCUGCCAGCUGCAAAUAGUUUGAAUCUGAGGACUCUGGAGAGAGAAUAAAUGCCAGAGCCCAGAGAGUGGAGUAGAGAGAAAGAACAAGGCUGCUCCUGGUUGCUGUUGUGAGACAAGAAGUUGGAGAUCUACUGAAACGAGGACUGGACUGCCUUCAAGGCACCUGACAACCCUAACCAGCAGGAAGCAGCUAAAGAGAACUGCGCCCCCUCUCCCACUCUUCCCUUUCUCUCUUUUACCUGGUGUUGGAAGGGAUUGGGGUGAAGGGAGAAAAAGAUAUA
Long non-coding RNA from Meriones unguiculatus (Mongolian gerbil), 1244 nucleotides. RefSeq lists it as uncharacterized. The record is from RefSeq and is a predicted model, not a curated record. The transcript has 5 exons. NCBI's taxonomy places the organism in Eukaryota, Metazoa, Chordata, Mammalia, Rodentia, Muridae.